GACGAACGCUGGCGGCGUGCCUAAUACAUGCAAGUUGAGCGAUGAAGAUUGGUGCUUGCCCCAAUUUGAAGAGCAGCGAACGGGUGAGUAACGCGUGGGGAAUCUGCCUUUGAGCGGGGGACAACAUUUGGAAACGAAUGCUAAUACCGCAUAACAACUUUAAACAUAAGUUUUAAGUUUGAAAGAUGCAAUUGCAUCACUCAAAGAUGAUCCCGCGUUGUAUUAGCUAGUUGGUGAGGUAAAGGCUCACCAAGGCGAUGAUACAUAGCCGACCUGAGAGGGAGAUCGGCCACAUUGGGACUGAGACACGGCCCAAACUCCUACGGGAGGCAGCAGUAGGGAAUCUUCGGCAAUGGACGAAAGUCUGACCGAGCAACGCCGCGUGAGUGAAGAAGGUUUUCGGAUCGUAAAACUCUGUUGGUAGAGAAGAACGUUGGUGAGAGUGGAAAGCUCAUCAAGUGACGGUAACUACACAGAAAGGGACGGCUAACUACGUG
Molecule: ribosomal RNA, 497 nt
Filed under: uncultured bacterium
Lineage: Bacteria
Description: partial 16S ribosomal RNA
Rfam family: Bacterial small subunit ribosomal RNA
Source: RNAcentral